AUAAACCAAGUAUAAUGUAUAUUUCACUUACAAUGAAAAGGGCUAUUUAAUAGGGUUUAUU
RNAcentral lists this transfer RNA (61 nucleotides) under Elatonitor suturalis. RNAcentral's name for it is "Malandena suturalis tRNA-Val". The record is from RNAcentral. Lineage: Eukaryota; Metazoa; Mollusca; Gastropoda; Stylommatophora; Helicarionidae.